AUUGAACGCUGGCGGCAGGCCUAACACAUGCAAGUCGAACGGUAACAGGAAGAAGCUUGCUUCUUUGCUGACGAGUGGCGGACGGGUGAGUAAUGUCUGGGAAACUGCCUGAUGGAGGGGGAUAACUACUGGAAACGGUAGCUAAUACCGCAUAACGUCGCAAGACCAAAAAGGGGGACCUUCGGGCCUCUUGCCAUCGGAUGUGCCCAGAUGGGAUUAGCUAGUAGGUGGGGUAACGUCUCACCUAGGCGACGAUCCCUAGCUGGUCUGAGAGGAUGACCAGCCACACUGGAACUGAGACACGGUCCAGACUCCUACGGGAAGCAGCAGUGGGGAACAUUGCACAAUGGGCGCAAGCCUGAUGCAGCCAUGCCGCGUGUAUGAAGAAGGCCUUCGGGUUGUAAAGUACUUUCAGCGGGGAGGAAGGGAGUAAAGUUAAUACCUUUGCUCAUUGACGUUACCCGCAGAAGAAGCACCGGCUAACUCCGUG
Molecule: ribosomal RNA, 490 nt
Filed under: uncultured bacterium
Lineage: Bacteria
Description: partial 16S ribosomal RNA
Rfam family: Bacterial small subunit ribosomal RNA
Source: RNAcentral